This is a long non-coding RNA of Balaenoptera musculus (blue whale), 446 nucleotides long. RefSeq lists it as uncharacterized. The transcript has 2 exons. Lineage: Eukaryota; Metazoa; Chordata; Mammalia; Artiodactyla; Balaenopteridae. The record is from RefSeq and is a predicted model, not a curated record.
AAGCGGUUCGGCCGCCAUCUUGGGUAGGUGCCCCGGCAGUGGCUGAGGCGCCCCGGCAGUGGCUGAGGCGGAGCGCUGCAAGCUGAAGUAGGGUUGGCCUGCGUACCCCGUUCUGGGCCCCAAGUCGGCCCGAAAAACCCACGGACCUCCCCGCCCAGGCCCCGAAUCGUGGCGCAGGUCAGGGGCUCUGGGGCCAGCCGCAACCCAACAAGGCAGGGACGGCGGGCGGCGGCAGGCGAGGCUCCGAAGAGGUUACUUGCUGGCAUUCCUAUUAAACAACCUGGCAUUUGUUUACAAAUGAAAAACACCCUAACCAUGGAGGUCAGAUGGGCCAGCAGAAGUGGAACUAGGGGAGAACACACCUGCUCAACAAGGAGAAGGCAGCCUUGGGACCAUCAAGUUGUGAAUGCAAGCAAAUAAAUGUUUCGUAGACUUUUUAAAAGUAA